AGAAGCUUUCUAUCUCUCCCGCUAUGUCCACGUCGGAUUCCACGUUGGAAAUACCUCUCCUGACGUUGCGACACGUUGAAACUCACCGUUUCACUAAAACUCUUCUACUGUGGGCUUGGGUCGCGUAUAUUUGGUUUAUGCUCUGAAGAUUGAAGAUUUUUCUGGGCCGACGGAGAAGAGGUCGCCUCUAACCCUAAUACGGGUAAGGCGAUGAAAAGCGGUUCGUCUUCGUCUCUACUCUUCGUGUGACGGCGGCGAUGCGGUGACGAUUGUGUUUCUUCUCACAACCUGAAACGGUCGGUUUAAUGGCUUCGUCUUUAAUCCCAUCGAUUUGCACCUCCACGCUUCAAAGCGUUGCUUAAGAUCUGAGUGGCGGUGUGGGUUCAGUAUAAAUAUAUAUAUGACCGAGCAAAAGCUGUUGAAAUAUUAAGAUCUGGAAGUUUUACAAAGAGAUCACAUUGAUUCUGACACGAGAGAAAUUAAGGUGAAUUUUGCUUUUGCCUUGAUAUAAUUGAAGUAUUGGACUAUCGAAAUUAUAUACACUGUUAAAAGUGUGUGUGUGUGUGUGUUUGAUACCUCCAUAUGGAAAAAGGGCAAUAGUCCAGUUAUGGUGUUACAAAAUCAGCCAGGUACGUGGAUUCAAAGGUGGAGGUAAAUGUGCAUUGGAUUUGUCUGUAUGGAUUUAACUGGAAUAGAUUUAACUUGAGUUAUUGAAGUUGUUUCUAUGUAUGGUUCAAGAUUAGCAAGCUCUGAGUUACUAUGAAGAGUCCAAGAGUUAUCAACGUUGAUAACCGCAACAUUUGUUCUUUCUUUAUGAUAUUGAUGACUCUUUGUUUUAUCACUGAUCCAGGAAGCUGCAUUAUUCUAUGAGACCAUCGUCUAUACGUACAUACACAUAUGGUGAAGUUUAAAGUGUCUACCUUGGGGUCGUGUGUUUGUUCAUUGGUUAAUGAAGUUACAAGGGAGUAAUUUUGGUAGUAGUUUUACUGUCUUAAGCUUUGAGAUGGGUGGUCAUUCUCAAAGGACUCGAGUAGGAAGAGCAGCAAAUCAUCCUCAAAAGUUCCAAGAAAGCCCCGUACAACCAUAGUUAUAGGGAGGAAAAAUACGUGGUGGCCAAGAAAGCCCCGUACAACCAUUUUAGGAAGUUUUACAGUUCAACACAUUUCUCACAUAUUGUUUAGAAAUUUAUAAUUUUCUCAUCUAGCAACUGUAAACUUUUCUUUUUUUUUUCAUAAUUCUUUGUGUUUAUUGUAUAUAGUUGAGUUUUCUUUC
Molecule: long non-coding RNA, 1272 nt
Organism: Raphanus sativus (radish)
Lineage: Eukaryota; Viridiplantae; Streptophyta; Magnoliopsida; Brassicales; Brassicaceae
Exons: 3
Source: RefSeq, a predicted model, not a curated record